CCAUAUUCUCAUGCAGCUGGGAAAACAUUCAUAAAAACUUAUUCCGAAUAAAAUUAUUAUUUUAAACACUUCAAAAUUAACAAACUAUGGAGGUUCUCUUGGAAAGAGUUGCCUCUUUAGAAGUCAUGGUUUCAGAUUUAGUAAAAUGGACAAACUUUCAACCAGGAGAAAAUCCCCGCAUUCCAAGAACAUGACGAUAUUGCCAUAGAUGAUUCCAUACCUCCGUCAACACCUACUUAUCCUGAUAACCUGGAUUCUGACGAAAUUGAUAUAGAGCACACAAUUAAACUCGAGUAUCCAACUGAUGACACCCUUCCGCCCUGUGACGAGGAGGUGGAGGAAGGUGAAGUUCCCCGCAUAAGAAAUGACCCACUCGGCGACAUUCCUGAUUAUUCGGCAACUACACCGACUUCCUCUCAGGUAUUUGUCGGAGGUCCGCCUCAAAAUCAAGUUCAAGCCACGUCAACAAAUAGCUGGACAGUUAAAUCUAAACAAAAACAAGUUUAUCGCGUCGUCAAGAAAACGAAGGAUAUUAUAUUACUAAGUACCAAAUCCGCGAAAUCCAUGGACAUCUCGUCGAUAUGCAUAAGUGGACCGUGGUCCAUUGCCGCUUAUGCAAUAGAAAAUUUCUGGACAAGACGGAGCUCGACCAACACCUGAGUGACGAUCAUAGCACAGUCAUCCAUUUCCCAUGCGUCCAGUGUGGAACCAUUUUUGACUCUCACGACCAUCUCGACUCCCACAUCAGCUCCACCCAUGCCACUAUGCCGAAAAAAGUUGAGUGUUCCAUAUGCGGACAAAAGUUUCACCUUCAAAAUGUUGCAAAAACAUGCCCAAACUACAUACUGCAAACAAAAUCGGCGCAGCUUCACAUCUCCCGAUUUGCAGAUGUGAGAGCAAAGCCAUUAUAAUUCUAUCUGCAGCAACGUGGACACAAAUCAUAUCGUAAAAUGUGCCAGUUUUACAAUUAUUAUAUGACAUUAUUUUCUGUUUCAUCCAAAUUAAAUUUUUAUAGAUUUCAAUUCAUAUUACUCUACUAGGACCCAUUUCCUACCUCUGUACCAAAACUCAGCCUACUACGACUAUUUUGAAUAUUCUGACCCUUGACCCAUACCGACUAAAAUGACCCCCACGGGUCAACCACUUGACCGAUCAAGCUCAUCUUCGAACUUGAUUCUUAACUUUGCAUGUUCUAAGUGUGUGCCAAAUUUCAAGUCGAUCGGAUAAGUUUUACUAAAGUUAUUGCAAGACGGACAGACGGACAACACGGGUACAUAAGCCCUGGGUCAGGCUAAAAGGGCCUAUGUGCAAGCAUGUAUUCACUUAUGUCUUGCCAAACCGAUUCUUCAUAUAUCGCGCGAUUUAGCCAUUAGUAAAUACAUGCUUGCACAUAGGCCCUUAUUAAUUUUCUGCUGCGCGCUUAGGCCCUUUCGGAAUUAUUCAUCGUCUGCACUUCAGCCCUUUCAGAAUUAGUCCGACGAUAUGACAAAAUAUACUAGUUUCUAUGUCAUCUUUUAUAUUUACAUGUGUGCCUUCAUUGUUUUCAGCUUAUGCAACCCAAACAGUGGCAGGGACCAACUUUUUUGUCAAAGUUCGACUUGAUCCGGAAAUUUACCACGUGCGAAUUGAAAGAGAUCUUUCGGGUAGAUCACUCAAACUCGUCAAAGUCAUGGGACCAAUGAAAGAAGAAGAUAAAAUUGCUCAUUUUUGAAUAAAGGAAAAUGUUUCAUGCAAAUCUUAUCUAUUCCUGAUAUGCGAUUGUCAAAUGGUGCUUUCUUUUAAUAAUUUUGCAAAAUGUACAACAAUUUAAUUCAUGUCAAAUAAAAUUGUUAAUCAGUUCA
Folsomia candida is the source of this 1841-nucleotide long non-coding RNA. RefSeq lists it as uncharacterized. The transcript is spliced from 4 exons. The record is from RefSeq and is a predicted model, not a curated record. NCBI's taxonomy places the organism in Eukaryota, Metazoa, Arthropoda, Collembola, Entomobryomorpha, Isotomidae.